This 348-nucleotide ribosomal RNA is filed under the name Enterobacteriaceae bacterium LM664. RNAcentral describes it as "bacterial SSU rRNA". It matches the Rfam family "Bacterial small subunit ribosomal RNA", at positions 1183 to 1533 of the family's 1533-position model. The record is from RNAcentral. Lineage: Bacteria; Pseudomonadati; Pseudomonadota; Gammaproteobacteria; Enterobacterales; Enterobacteriaceae.
CGUCAAGUCAUCAUGGCCCUUACGAGUAGGGCUACACACGUGCUACAAUGGCGUAUACAAAGAGAAGCGACCUCGCGAGAGCAAGCGGACCUCAUAAAGUACGUCGUAGUCCGGAUUGGAGUCUGCAACUCGACUCCAUGAAGUCGGAAUCGCUAGUAAUCGUAGAUCAGAAUGCUACGGUGAAUACGUUCCCGGGCCUUGUACACACCGCCCGUCACACCAUGGGAGUGGGUUGCAAAAGAAGUAGGUAGCUUAACCUUCGGGAGGGCGCUUACCACUUUGUGAUUCAUGACUGGGGUGAAGUCGUAACAAGGUAACCGUAGGUGAACCUGCCGAAAGUCAAAAAAA